AGGAAAUGGUGUACUGGAACCACCAAGA
RNAcentral lists this transfer RNA (28 nucleotides) under Epiplatys duboisi. RNAcentral describes it as "partial tRNA-Gln". The record is from RNAcentral. Lineage: Eukaryota; Metazoa; Chordata; Actinopteri; Cyprinodontiformes; Nothobranchiidae.